GACGAACGCUGGCGGCGUGCUUAACACAUGCAAGUCGAACGGAAAGGCCCUGCUUUUGUGGGGUGCUCGAGUGGCGAACGGGUGAGUAACACGUGAGUAACCUGCCCUUGACUUUGGGAUAACUUCAGGAAACUGGGGCUAAUACCGGAUAGGAGCUCUUGCUGCAUGGUGGGGGUUGGAAAGUUUCGGCGGUUGGGGAUGGACUCGCGGCUUAUCAGCUUGUUGGUGGGGUAGUGGCUUACCAAGGCUUUGACGGGUAGCCGGCCUGAGAGGGUGACCGGCCACAUUGGGACUGAGAUACGGCCCAGACUCCUACGGGAGGCAGCAGUGGGGAAUAUUGCACAAUGGGCGGAAGCCUGAUGCAGCAACGCCGCGUGCGGGAUGACGGCCUUCGGGUUGUAAACCGCUUUCGCCUGUGACGAAGCGCGAGUGACGGUAAUGGGUAAAGAAGCACCGGCUAACUACGUG
This 468-nucleotide ribosomal RNA is filed under the name uncultured bacterium. RNAcentral's name for it is "partial 16S ribosomal RNA". It matches the Rfam family "Bacterial small subunit ribosomal RNA", at positions 28 to 507 of the family's 1533-position model. The record is from RNAcentral.